UUAAGCGACUAAGCGUACACGGUGGAUGCCCUGGCAGUCAGAGGCGAUGAAGGACGUGCUAAUCUGCGAUAAGCGUCGGUAAGGUGAUAUGAACCGUUAUAACCGGCGAUUUCCGAAUGGGGAAACCCAGUGUGUUUCGACACACUAUCAUUAACUGAAUCCAUAGGUUAAUGAGGCGAACCGGGGGAACUGAAACAUCUAAGUACCCCGAGGAAAAGAAAUCAACCGAGAUUCCCCCAGUAGCGGCGAGCGAACGGGGAGCAGCCCAGAGCCUGAAUCAGUGUGUGUGUUAGUGGAAGCGUCUGGAAAGGCGCGCGAUACAGGGUGACAGCCCCGUACACAAAAAUGCACAUGCUGUGAGCUCGAUGAGUAGGGCGGGACACGUGGUAUCCUGUCUGAAUAUGGGGGGACCAUCCUCCAAGGCUAAAUACUCCUGACUGACCGAUAGUGAACCAGUACCGUGAGGGAAAGGCGAAAAGAACCCCGGCGAGGGGAGUGAAAAAGAACCUGAAACCGUGUACGUACAAGCAGUGGGAGCACGCUUCGGCGUGUGACUGCGUACCUUUUGUAUAAUGGGUCAGCGACUUAUAUUCUGUAGCAAGGUUAACCGAAUAGGGGAGCCGAAGGGAAACCGAGUCUUAACUGGGCGUUAAGUUGCAGGGUAUAGACCCGAAACCCGGUGAUCUAGCCAUGGGCAGGUUGAAGGUUGGGUAACACUAACUGGAGGACCGAACCGACUAAUGUUGAAAAAUUAGCGGAUGACUUGUGGCUGGGGGUGAAAGGCCAAUCAAACCGGGAGAUAGCUGGUUCUCCCCGAAAGCUAUUUAGGUAGCGCCUCGUGAAUUCAUCUCCGGGGGUAGAGCACUGUUUCGGCAAGGGGGUCAUCCCGACUUACCAACCCGAUGCAAACUGCGAAUACCGGAGAAUGUUAUCACGGGAGACACACGGCGGGUGCUAACGUCCGUCGUGAAGAGGGAAACAACCCAGACCGCCAGCUAAGGUCCCAAAGUCAUGGUUAAGUGGGAAACGAUGUGGGAAGGCCCAGACAGCCAGGAUGUUGGCUUAGAAGCAGCCAUCAUUUAAAGAAAGCGUAAUAGCUCACUGGUCGAGUCGGCCUGCGCGGAAGAUGUAACGGGGCUAAACCAUGCACCGAAGCUGCGGCAGCGACGCUGAUGCGUUGUUGGGUAGGGGAGCGUUCUGUAAGCCUGCGAAGGUGUGCUGUGAGGCAUGCUGGAGGUAUCAGAAGUGCGAAUGCUGACAUAAGUAACGAUAAAGCGGGUGAAAAGCCCGCUCGCCGGAAGACCAAGGGUUCCUGUCCAACGUUAAUCGGGGCAGGGUGAGUCGACCCCUAAGGCGAGGCCGAAAGGCGUAGUCGAUGGGAAACAGGUUAAUAUUCCUGUACUUGGUGUUACUGCGAAGGGGGGACGGAGAAGGCUAUGUUGGCCGGGCGACGGUUGUCCCGGUUUAAGCGUGUAGGCUGGUUUUCCAGGCAAAUCCGGAAAAUCAAGGCUGAGGCGUGAUGACGAGGCACUACGGUGCUGAAGCAACAAAUGCCCUGCUUCCAGGAAAAGCCUCUAAGCAUCAGGUAACAUCAAAUCGUACCCCAAACCGACACAGGUGGUCAGGUAGAGAAUACCAAGGCGCUUGAGAUAACUCGGGUGAAGGAACUAGGCAAAAUGGUGCCGUAACUUCGGGAGAAGGCACGCUGAUAUGUAGGUGAGGUCCCUCGCGGAUGGAGCUGAAAUCAGUCGAAGAUACCAGCUGGCUGCAACUGUUUAUUAAAAACACAGCACUGUGCAAACACGAAAGUGGACGUAUACGGUGUGACGCCUGCCCGGUGCCGGAAGGUUAAUUGAUGGGGUUAGCGCAAGCGAAGCUCUUGAUCGAAGCCCCGGUAAACGGCGGCCGUAACUAUAACGGUCCUAAGGUAGCGAAAUUCCUUGUCGGGUAAGUUCCGACCUGCACGAAUGGCGUAAUGAUGGCCAGGCUGUCUCCACCCGAGACUCAGUGAAAUUGAACUCGCUGUGAAGAUGCAGUGUACCCGCGGCAAGACGGAAAGACCCCGUGAACCUUUACUAUAGCUUGACACUGAACAUUGAGCCUUGAUGUGUAGGAUAGGUGGGAGGCUUUGAAGUGUGGACGCCAGUCUGCAUGGAGCCGACCUUGAAAUACCACCCUUUAAUGUUUGAUGUUCUAACGUUGACCCGUAAUCCGGGUUGCGGACAGUGUCUGGUGGGUAGUUUGACUGGGGCGGUCUCCUCCUAAAGAGUAACGGAGGAGCACGAAGGUUGGCUAAUCCUGGUCGGACAUCAGGAGGUUAGUGCAAUGGCAUAAGCCAGCUUGACUGCGAGCGUGACGGCGCGAGCAGGUGCGAAAGCAGGUCAUAGUGAUCCGGUGGUUCUGAAUGGAAGGGCCAUCGCUCAACGGAUAAAAGGUACUCCGGGGAUAACAGGCUGAUACCGCCCAAGAGUUCAUAUCGACGGCGGUGUUUGGCACCUCGAUGUCGGCUCAUCACAUCCUGGGGCUGAAGUAGGUCCCAAGGGUAUGGCUGUUCGCCAUUUAAAGUGGUACGCGAGCUGGGUUUAGAACGUCGUGAGACAGUUCGGUCCCUAUCUGCCGUGGGCGCUGGAGAACUGAGGGGGGCUGCUCCUAGUACGAGAGGACCGGAGUGGACGCAUCACUGGUGUUCGGGUUGUCAUGCCAAUGGCACUGCCCGGUAGCUAAAUGCGGAAGAGAUAAGUGCUGAAAGCAUCUAAGCACGAAACUUGCCCCGAGAUGAGUUCUCCCUGACCCUUUAAGGGUCCUGAAGGAACGUUGAAGACGACGACGUUGAUAGGCCGGGUGUGUAAGCGCAGCGAUGCGUUGAGCUAACCGGUACUAAUGAACCGUGAGGCUUAACCUU
RNAcentral lists this ribosomal RNA (2902 nucleotides) under Escherichia coli. Its description in RNAcentral is "bacterial LSU rRNA". It matches the Rfam family "Bacterial large subunit ribosomal RNA". The record is from RNAcentral. Lineage: Bacteria; Pseudomonadati; Pseudomonadota; Gammaproteobacteria; Enterobacterales; Enterobacteriaceae.